RNAcentral lists this ribosomal RNA (382 nucleotides) under uncultured eukaryote. RNAcentral describes it as "SSU rRNA". It matches the Rfam family "Eukaryotic small subunit ribosomal RNA", at positions 587 to 972 of the family's 1831-position model. The record is from RNAcentral.
AGGUCCAAUAGCCUAUAUUAAAGUUGUUGCAGUUAAAAAGCUCGUAGUUGGAUUUCUGGUUGGUCGUGUGGGUCUGCUCUUACGAGUGUGCACCAUUCAUGUCUGGCCAUCCUUUGGGAGAGCCACAGUGGCAUUAAGUUGUUGGUGUGGGGAUCCCAAUCCUUUACUGUAAAGAAAUUAGAGUGUUCAAAGCAGACUUACACCGUUGAAUAUGUUAGCAUGGAAUAAUAAUAUAGGACUAUUGUACUAUUUUGUUGGUUUGCGCGCAAUAGUAAUGAUUAACAGGGACAGUUGGGGGUAUUUGUAUUCCAUUGUCAGAGGUGGAAUUCUUUGAUUUUUGGAAGACAUACUACUGUGAAAGCAUUUACCAAAGAUGUUUUAA